Dreissena polymorpha is the source of this 528-nucleotide long non-coding RNA. RefSeq lists it as uncharacterized. The transcript has 3 exons. The record is from RefSeq and is a predicted model, not a curated record. Lineage: Eukaryota; Metazoa; Mollusca; Bivalvia; Myida; Dreissenidae.
UCAAGAGAUUGUUUAGUAUACUGUAACCUCAAUGAUGAACGCUUGAAAUGAUCAUGACAUGAAUGAGACGCUUUCAUAUCAGUAGUCCGUUCUGAGCCCAACACAGAGGUGAAUGUAAUCUAACCGUUGUGCAAGAGAUUGCAUAGUUUCAGUUCCAAUCAAUAUUUUAAUUGGUUCCCUGUACAUAUGCAAAACACAUCAUAUAAUAAGAAGACUCUAGCAGUUUAUCAAACAGACACAUUUUUUUUUACAUUGAUAGGUGUAUGGAAAUUAACUAGGGUGUAUACACCAUUGGCACGUGACUGCUCUAAGCCAAUCGGAUUAGGUCAUUUUUGUUGGAAUGGAGAUAUAAUAUUAUCUUCGGAUCUUGGUCAAGCAUUGGGCAGGUUGGCAUGGUCAAGGUGGUUAUUCUGUGAUACCACCAAAUGAAAAGAAGAGACAGCAGAUUAUUCAGAUUGCUCAAAAGGAGGAGAAAGCUCUCCAGGAACACAGACAAAGGAACACCCAGACAUCAUUUAGCUAUGUGGG